GGAUGUGAAGGCGCUCUGGCUGCCACGUCUGUCACCCCAGUGAUCACCAGGGUAGAUUUACGCUGACCUGGCUGGCUAGGCCGGUGUCUCCUUUUUCCCUCACCAAUCCCCAUGCUUCCUUCCACCCUUUCAGAGGAUGCCCUCCCUCCUGAGCCAUGAGGAUCUUUCUUCUGCGCUCUGCUGCUAGAGCCUCCAAACUCUCUAGGUCUGUCUGUAGAACACAGAGUAGUCCAGCUUCCAAGACUCCAGACACAGCAAUGAGGUGCUGUAUAUGGCAGUCUGCCUUUCUUG
This 291-nucleotide small nuclear RNA is filed under the name Pongo abelii (Sumatran orangutan). RNAcentral describes it as "7SK RNA". It matches the Rfam family "7SK RNA". From Rfam's summary of the family: 7SK was discovered as an abundant small nuclear RNA in the mid-70s but a possible function has only recently been suggested. Two independent studies have found that 7SK RNA binds the CDK9/cyclin T complex (known as elongation factor P-TEFb). P-TEFb activates transcription by phosphorylating the C-terminal domain of RNA polymerase II. The record is from Rfam by way of RNAcentral. Lineage: Eukaryota; Metazoa; Chordata; Mammalia; Primates; Hominidae.